RNAcentral lists this ribosomal RNA (465 nucleotides) under Vreelandella stevensii. Its description in RNAcentral is "partial 16S ribosomal RNA". It matches the Rfam family "Bacterial small subunit ribosomal RNA", at positions 338 to 795 of the family's 1533-position model. The record is from RNAcentral. Lineage: Bacteria; Pseudomonadati; Pseudomonadota; Gammaproteobacteria; Oceanospirillales; Halomonadaceae.
CCUACGGGUGGCUGCAGUGGGGAAUAUUGGACAAUGGGGGGAACCCUGAUCCAGCCAUGCCGCGUGUGUGAAGAAGGCCCUCGGGUUGUAAAGCACUUUCAGUGAGGAAGAACGCCUGGUGGUUAAUACCCAUCAGGAAAGACAUCACUCACAGAAGAAGCACCGGCUAACUCCGUGCCAGCAGCCGCGGUAAUACGGAGGGUGCGAGCGUUAAUCGGAAUUACUGGGCGUAAAGCGCGCGUAGGUGGCUUGAUAAGCCGGUUGUGAAAGCCCCGGGCUCAACCUGGGAACGGCAUCCGGAACUGUCAAGCUAGAGUGCAGGAGAGGAAGGUAGAAUUCCCGGUGUAGCGGUGAAAUGCGUAGAGAUCGGGAGGAAUACCAGUGGCGAAGGCGGCCUUCUGGACUGACACUGACACUGAGGUGCGAAGGCGUGGGUAGCAAACAGGAUUAGAUACCCCGGUAGUC